Monodelphis domestica (gray short-tailed opossum) is the source of this 106-nucleotide small nuclear RNA. Lineage: Eukaryota; Metazoa; Chordata; Mammalia; Didelphimorphia; Didelphidae. The record is from Ensembl.
AUGCUCACUUUGGCAGCACAUAUAAUAAAACUGGAACAAUAUAGAGAAGAUUAGCAUGGCCCCUGCAAAGGAUGAUAUGCAAAUUAAAGACACAUUCUGUUUUUUU